GAGUUUGAUCCUGGCUCAGGACGAACGCUGGCGGCGUGCCUAAUACAUGCAAGUCGAGCGAGCUUGCCUAGAUGAUUUUAGUGCUUGCACUAAAUGAAACUAGAUACAAGCGAGCGGCGGACGGGUGAGUAACACGUGGGUAACCUGCCCAAGAGACUGGGAUAACACCUGGAAACAGAUGCUAAUACCGGAUAACAACACUAGACGCAUGUCUAGAGUUUGAAAGAUGGUUCUGCUAUCACUCUUGGAUGGACCUGCGGUGCAUUAGCUAGUUGGUAAGGUAACGGCUUACCAAGGCAAUGAUGCAUAGCCGAGUUGAGAGACUGAUCGGCCACAUUGGACUGAGACACGGCCCAAACUCCUACGGGAGGCAGCAGUAGGGAAUCUUCCACAAUGGACGAAAGUCUGAUGGAGCAACACCGCGUGAGUGAAGAAGGGUUUCGGCUCGUAAAGCUCUGUUGUUAGAGAAGAACGUGCGUGAGAGUAACUGUUCACGCAGUGACGGUAUCUA
This 511-nucleotide ribosomal RNA is filed under the name uncultured bacterium. RNAcentral's name for it is "bacterial SSU rRNA". It matches the Rfam family "Bacterial small subunit ribosomal RNA", at positions 9 to 481 of the family's 1533-position model. The record is from RNAcentral.